This 468-nucleotide ribosomal RNA is filed under the name uncultured bacterium. RNAcentral describes it as "partial 16S ribosomal RNA". It matches the Rfam family "Bacterial small subunit ribosomal RNA", at positions 28 to 507 of the family's 1533-position model. The record is from RNAcentral.
GACGAACGCUGGCGGCGUGCCUAACACAUGCAAGUCGAACGGAAAGGCCCUGCGUUUGUGGGGUGCUCGAGGGGCGAGGGGGUGAGUAACACGUGAGUAUCCUGCCCUUGACUUUGGGAGAACUUCAGGAAAAUGGGGCUCAUACCGGAUAGGAGCUCCUGCUGCAUGGUGGUGGUUGGUAAAUUUCGGCGGUUGGGGAUGGACUCGCGGCUUAUCAGCUUGUUGGUGUGGUAGUGGCUUUCCAAGGCUUUGACGGGUAGCCGGCCUGAGAGGGUGACCGGCCACCUGGGGACUGAGAUACGGCCCAGAAUCCUACGGGAGGCAGCAGUCGGGAAUCUUGCCAAAUGGGCGGAAGCCUGAUGCAGAAGCGCCGGGUGCGGGAUGACGGCCUUCGGGUGGUAAACCGCUUUCGCCUGUGACGAAGCGUGAUUGACGGUAAUGGGUAAAGAAGCACCGGCUAACUACGUG